GACGGAGGUCCCGAGCGUUGUUCGGAAUUAUUGGGCUUAAAGCGCGUGUAGGCGGAACGGUAAGUACCUUGUGAAAUCCCCGGACUCAAUCCGGGAACUGCUUGGUAUACUGCCGAUCUUGAGGCAGGUAGGGGUCACUGGAACCUUAGGUGGAGCGGUGAAAUGCGUAGAUAUCUAAGGGAACGCCUGUGGCGAAAGCGGGUGACUGGGCCUGUUCUGACGCUGAGACGCGAAAGCGUAGGGAGCAAAC
RNAcentral lists this ribosomal RNA (250 nucleotides) under uncultured bacterium. RNAcentral's name for it is "partial 16S ribosomal RNA". It matches the Rfam family "Bacterial small subunit ribosomal RNA", at positions 524 to 773 of the family's 1533-position model. The record is from RNAcentral.